UCUCUCACAAAGUGGGUGUGGUAUGUCAUUUUAAUCUCCAUAUCACAGCCAGCUUUGAUGAGCGGAG
This 67-nucleotide microRNA precursor is filed under the name Stegodyphus mimosarum. RNAcentral describes it as "mir-2 microRNA precursor". It matches the Rfam family "mir-2 microRNA precursor family". From Rfam's summary of the family: The miRNAs are transcribed as ~70nt precursors (modelled here) and subsequently processed by the Dicer enzyme to give a ~22nt product. In this case the mature sequence comes from the 3' arm of the precursor. The extents of the hairpin precursors are not generally known and are estimated based on hairpin prediction. Lineage: Eukaryota; Metazoa; Arthropoda; Arachnida; Araneae; Eresidae. The record is from Rfam by way of RNAcentral.